This 252-nucleotide ribosomal RNA is filed under the name uncultured bacterium. RNAcentral describes it as "partial 16S ribosomal RNA". It matches the Rfam family "Bacterial small subunit ribosomal RNA", at positions 524 to 775 of the family's 1533-position model. The record is from RNAcentral.
UACGUAGGUGGCAAGCGUUGUCCGGAAUUAUUGGGCGUAAAGCGCGCGCAGGCGGUUCUUUUAAGUCUGAUGUGAAAGCCCACGGCUCAACCGUGGAGGGUCAUUGGAAACUGGAGAACUUGAGUACAGAAGAGGAAAGCGGAAUUCCACGUGUAGCGGUGAAAUGCGUAGAGAUGUGGAGGAACACCAGUGGCGAAGGCGGCUUCUGGUCUGUAACUGACGCUGAGGAGCGAAAGCGUGGGGAGCGAACGG